Long non-coding RNA from Micropterus salmoides (largemouth bass), 1612 nucleotides. RefSeq lists it as uncharacterized. NCBI's taxonomy places the organism in Eukaryota, Metazoa, Chordata, Actinopteri, Centrarchiformes, Centrarchidae. The record is from RefSeq and is a predicted model, not a curated record. The transcript is spliced from 3 exons.
CAGGUUUCAGAUGUUCUUCUACAUGUCAACAAAUCUCGUGUUCAGACUCAAACCAGCAACCCGUCUCUCAACACUGUCUGACUUCCUGUCUGUGGCUCUCAGCUCCACGUCAGCCUUUAAAAUCACCUCACAGGUAUGUGGUUUCAUUUGGAGCUGGGCUGUCCACAUACUUUUGGCCACAUAGUGUAAGAACGAACCUGAGAGGAUGAUGCAGGAAGAGAGAGAGGCGGCCGUUGUGAAACUCACCUCAUGACUUUGCCGCUCAGACGUUUCUCCUUCUGCGAAUCUGAGGACGAGGAACAGAGACGAGGUCAGAGACUCUCUCCACAUGAGGCAGUCAGCUGCUCAGCCUCCACAAAGAUGACCACUGUUGAGCUCCGACCAGCGUGGAAAUCAGCUUCUGCCUGCGUGGAGGGGCGGCGCCGCCAUUUUCUAACCCAGCCGUGGAAUACAGAGCGGCUCCGACCGCCGACACAAAACACUCAUUCAGUCUGAUUCAGAACAAACUGUGAAGACCUGAGCUGAUUUGUAAGUCUGAAUGAGUGUCUGAGGGUUUGGACCGAACGUAAGAACGUCCUAAAGGAAAAUAUAUUCCGCUCACUCCACUUUAAAACUUCAGUGUGUGUUCGGCCCUGAGAAAGCGUUCACACCCGCUGUUAAGAUAUGAUCUGGAUCCUGGCAAACUGAACAAACGUUCGGACUCAGGCGACGGACGACCACGACUGUUGUUCCAUCAGCCAGGAGCACUAUCGACCCAGGAGGCAUCCAUCACCACCUUGUUGACGAGCCCACAGAGGUUAAACAGCUGGGACUCCCUGAAGCCUCCUGGAUGAGAGACGACGUGUCUUCAGGUCAACGUUUGGGGACAUUUUGUUUGAAGACUCAACACGUCGAGGUGCUGAAGGUGGAUUCUUGAUUGGACGAGGCCCGGUCUACGAACUCCAGGCGGUGUUUCCUGAGGGGACGACAUGUGACGGCGUGGAGUUUUUGCCUGUAAAGAGCUGAGGGGAAGUCCACAUGAAGGGUUCAGAGUCUUUCUGGGAAACCUUCAUGUGACUGAGAGGAUGACAGAUUCUGGUUUAACCACUUCUUCAUGCUGGAUUUGGUGUUUCUAAGCAGAGGUGAUGGAAAGUACAGAAGAAGUUCAGCCUCUGACGUAUAAAAUCAUUAUAAUGAAAGUAUAACUCUGGGGAUUUUACUCUCUGUAUUUUACUUAUUGUCCUCAGAUCUCAUGUUUAGACUCAAACCAGCAGUGAAAGAAUCGCCUAACGAGUCCUGAUGUCUCCUCUUCCUCUGAAGCAGAGACACCAUUAAACCAGUGAGCCUCACUGCUGCACUGGGUCACAUGAUCCUUCAUCACCAAGAACACUCUGUAGUUUAUUCUGGCUCAGUCCCACAGACCCCGUCCUGCUGCCCAAAAUACUCACCAGAGCGCCACCAUGAGGUUUGAUGUUAAGUCAACAUGUUCUCAGCUGAACGACCAGGUACCUUCAGGGUCCAUACGAGACACCCUGGACUUAAAGCUAACUCCCCUGUAUCAUCAACUAUCUGAAACCAAAAGCUAAAGUUAUUUUAUAUUUCAACCAAGACCAUGAUCUUUCCUAAACCAAAC